UGGGGAAUAUUGGACAAUGGGCGAAAGCCUGAUCCAGCCAUGCCGCGUGUGUGAAGAAGGUCUUCGGAUUGUAAAGCACUUUAAGUUGGGAGGAAGGGCAGUAAGCGAAUACCUUGCUGUUUUGACGUUACCGACAGAAUAAGCACCGGCUAACUCUGUGCCAGCAGCCGCGGUAAUACAGAGGGUGCAAGCGUUAAUCGGAAUUACUGGGCGUAAAGCGCGCGUAGGUGGUUCGUUAAGUUGAAUGUGAAAGCCCCGGGCUCAACCUGGGAACGGCAUCCAAAACUGGCGAGCUAGAGUAGGGGAGAGGGUGGUGGAAUUACCUGUGUAGCGGUGAAAUGCGUAGAUAUAGGAAGGAACACCAGUGGCGAAGGCGACCACCUGGGCUGAUACUGACACUGAGGUGCGAAAGCGUGGGGAGGAAACAGG
RNAcentral lists this ribosomal RNA (429 nucleotides) under Pseudomonadota bacterium. Its description in RNAcentral is "Proteobacteria bacterium partial 16S ribosomal RNA". It matches the Rfam family "Bacterial small subunit ribosomal RNA", at positions 355 to 776 of the family's 1533-position model. Lineage: Bacteria; Pseudomonadati; Pseudomonadota. The record is from RNAcentral.